UACACGUGCUCGGAUAACGCUCA
Molecule: microRNA, 23 nt
Filed under: Caenorhabditis briggsae
Lineage: Eukaryota; Metazoa; Nematoda; Chromadorea; Rhabditida; Rhabditidae
Description: cbr-miR-248
Gene: cbr-miR-248
Source: miRBase by way of RNAcentral